UCAUGGUGCAAAGUACAUGACUCCCACUCACCUGUCAAUCUGGCACAGCCCUGAUACGCCUCCAAAAAUCUACAGCUGGCAGUGGGGAACUUCUUCCUCUUGUUUCCUAGCUUCUUGCCCAACUGUGACAUGCAUUUACAAUACAUUUAGUCUUGUAUCAAGGGCUAUAAUCUACGUGCCAAUUAUAAUAUAGGGAACUUUAAUUGAUUCAACUCCCCCGUUUCCUAAAUCUUUUCUUUUCUUUCUCUUUUUCUUUUUCUAUUAAUUAAUUCAUCAUUUAUGUGUAUUAGGGACUCCCUUGCACGAGUACAAGGUCUCCCUUAGCCUAAUCUAGGCUUAAUACCCUAUUAUGGCAUGAAAUCCCUUAUUUUCCACCCAGAUGAACAGUAACCCGAACUGACAGUGGGUUACUUCAUCCCGGUUUUGAUCCACUUUCAGGACUCCAAAUUUGAUGAAAUUUUUACCUAACAUUCUACACUCACAGAGGAUUCCAAAGAGAUAACAUGCAUCAUCAUCGGAGCCGUUUG
This 527-nucleotide long non-coding RNA is filed under the name Phoenix dactylifera (date palm). Its description in RNAcentral is "long non-coding RNA (PDAC_LNC022022)". Lineage: Eukaryota; Viridiplantae; Streptophyta; Magnoliopsida; Arecales; Arecaceae. The record is from RNAcentral.